Vigna unguiculata (cowpea) is the source of this 2182-nucleotide long non-coding RNA. The record is from RefSeq and is a predicted model, not a curated record. NCBI's taxonomy places the organism in Eukaryota, Viridiplantae, Streptophyta, Magnoliopsida, Fabales, Fabaceae.
AUUACUCAAACCCCAUAUCUCUUCACUCUCACAACGAGAAAAGCCACACAGACCCAUUUUUUCUCUAACCCUAAUUAACUCACUACACAAAGGCAGCCCCUUCUCUGUUGCCUCUUCCAGACUCGAGCAACUGCAGCCCCUAUCGAGCCUCCAUGUCGCCGAACCUAUGGAGCCGCAAUCGCUAACGUCGUUGCCCCCCAUGGCCGGCCAUGGCCAACGUCGGCAACGAUGUUUCGACUUCGCUCUUUCCUUCUCAACAGUCUCUUCUUCUCGACACCAACAACACUAAUCCAACCCCUGAAACAUGUGUUCACCUUCUACCCACCACCAAUGACACUGGCACCCGUCGAAGGCCUCACCGGCGACACCAUCGCCCUUCGCUCCGCCACGCGUGAAGCGCUCAUACACUAUUAACAACAUCUCCUACUCCGUUUCUCCAACACGUUCGAGACAGCGCGACUCGCCACCACCGCACCAGCCACCGCGACUGGGUUCGUAAUCGUCACCAACUACAGCCCUCCAUUCGAACUCCGACUCGCCGCCGACACUCCUUUGUUCAUCUCCUAUGAUUGGAUGUGGCUGAUUGGGUUUUCCCCUUGUUGAAAACCCAAAAAUAGUACUGAAAAUGCGAAAAAAAAUGAGGUGAGGGAUGGCGCACACAGUGAGGCAAGAGCAUGAGCGCCUCUUCGACGCCCUGAGUCUAAGUCACAAGCAGAAAAUCGAUUUGAGAACCAUUUAGACCCUUCUUGAGAAGGGUGAGGAAAAUUAUGAUAAAGUCAUUGCGUUUGGUGAAAUUUAGUUUGAGAGUAAGAAAAUGGAAGGUGUGGGUGUUGUAAAGAAGAAAAGGGGUGGUGACAGAGGUAAUAAAAAAAAUGUUGAUUCAUUAAUUGUGUUUACUUGCUAGUGAUUUGGUACACUAGAAUGAGAAUUUUUUACUUUGGCUCGUUAUCAUGAGAAGCAUUUGAGACUGGUUUUGUGUUUUUCAUGGUUGUGAUUUUGCUUGGCAAUGGAAUUGUUAUUUUAAGAAAAAAAUGUUUCUUUCUUAAAUUUUUAAAUGGCCAAUAUUUCUUUUUCAUUUGAAAAUAUUGAUUUCAUAGUAUUUGAUCAAAUCGUUAUAGAGCUAAUACUCCAUUGAGGUAUGUAUGUCCCUAUUUCACUGUUCCAUUGAGGUUCUUUGAACUUCAUGAGAAAUAAUAGGGCUAAUACUCCAUUGAGGUUCUUUAAAGUUCAUGAGAAAUAAUAGGGCUAAUACAAGGGUGUAAAGAAAAUGUUACUUGGAAAAAAGUGAUCAUGACCCUUUUGACAUUUUUUUGCAGCUAUGAACAAAACUUUAGAUAUAGUUGUUCAUGCAUUUUUUCAUGUUGUUACUAAAUCAGAAUCGGGGUUUCACAGUGUUAAUCUUUUUUUUUCAUAUAUAUUUAAUGAAUCUUUUAUAGUUCAAAUUAGUGAGAUAGCUUUAAUCUUGGUUGGUAUUGGUAUUAUCUCUGUUUUUUGUUCUCUUUUUACCUCCAAGGCAGCUUCCAGUUGCUUUUGCUCCAGAGCUGACUAUUGUGCUGAUGUGUAUCUUUGGAUGACGAAUUUGAAUGUUUGUUCCCUUUCUUAAAAGUGGUCUCGUAAGUGACUUACUAAUUAUCCAUCUUUUAUUAUGUAGGAUUGCUAUUAUGAUUUGUGUAUAUUUCUUGUGCAUGGGAUUUCUAUUUCAGAAGAUUUAGUGGUAGCUCUAGCAGAUGGGUUGCAAGCAUCUGGACUCAAUUUGGUUAAUAGUGGUGUGUCAAGUAAAACAAAUAGCUUGGAUAUGUCAUUACGUGCUUUAUCCACAAGUGAACACUUAAAGCUACAUAACGAGGCAGAGAAUCUUUUGCUGGAGAGGGGGAUAACAAAGAGUUGUGACAGGUGCAAACAAAGGAAUUGGAUUAGAGAUAGUUAAGCAGUUAGUCUCAACUGUGAUCAAGCUGGUACGCAUAACUUGAAAGUGGUGUGCCAUCUCCCCAUGAAAUAGUAGGAUCAAGUGGUGGAAACAAAACACCUUAGACUUAGGACUUUUAAUGUUGUCUUUUUUUCUUAGAUACUUGAAUAUUUUGGUACUCUUAAUAUUGUCUUUUUUUUUUUCAAAUGCUUGAAUUGAUAUUUUGGUGUAGUUAUGUUAUAUUGACAAUGAAUCAAUUUAGUUUAUCAAUUUCUA